Molecule: long non-coding RNA, 1519 nt
Organism: Sciurus carolinensis (gray squirrel)
Lineage: Eukaryota; Metazoa; Chordata; Mammalia; Rodentia; Sciuridae
Exons: 4
Source: RefSeq, a predicted model, not a curated record
CUCUGGGUUCCCCAGGAUCCCAGAUGUGGGGUGUGUGAGUGUGUGUGUGUGUGUAUGCGCAUGAGAGAGAGAGAGAGAGAGAGAGAGAGAGAGAGAGAGAGAGAGAGGAGAAGUUUCAUUUCUCUGCGUGGAUGCAGGAACCCAGAGGCCAGAGGCUGAGGGCACAUCAUUUUCCUGCCCUUCUCAUAAUUCCCAGAAAUUGUAGGUCUUAACCCUGAUGCCUAUUAGAAAGGUCAGGAAGCAAUUUAAAGCACCAGGACCAGGCGAGCUGUUUGGCCCAGGCAUUGGUGGGUUUAAACACCAAGCCAAAUAAUUCCAAUGUAAAGAAGGAUUGAGGGCCACUGAUGCAAGAAGGCAGGUCAAACAUUUGGUGAGGUCCCUAACUGGGAGGUGGACUACAGAGAAGCUCAGGGGUCUGGAUUCAGAGAGCCGGCGGCUCUACAGGGGAGGGCUGUUUUGGGGCUAUCAGUCUAGAGCUCUGACCCCUACCUUUACUCCCUGUACAUAGUAAUAGUGACCAAUAUGUGCCAAACAAGUUCUCUGUGCUGGGCACUGCUGGAUGCAGCACUGGUGCCUCGCCCCUGAAUUCUCUAGAGCAACUGCUUUUGAAGAUCAGGAACCCCAGUCGCGGGCUGGGAACCCCGCAUAGCACCAGGGAUGCCCAGGAUGCCAGAGUGGCUACGGCGAUCACCCACGAUCCUGGUGUAGCUCCCGCCGACCGCAGCCUGCCUCAGGGUGGGUGCUCCGAACCGAAAAAGGGGUGGAAAGGCUUCUGGGGUGAGCGAUUCAGGUGAGGCUCUGGGGGAAUUGGGGCGCAAGGCGCAGGAAUCCAGCCCGGCCCAGAUGCAGUUCCUCUGCGCAGUACCUUCACCCAAGCUCAGACCAAUUCUGCUUUUCCCGUCGUUUAGCAAAGCUCAGGUCUUGGUAUCUGUGUUUCUGUGGCUUAAAAUGAUUGCUAUUUUAAAUUUUCAUCUUAUCUCUGGGAAGUAAGAAAAAUCCUUGGUUGUGUAUCUCUGUAAAUCUAGUGUUGUUUCCUGCUAAUUCUGCAGGUAGGCAUGGAUUUUCCACAAGCAGAAUUCACAGAGUUCACCCACUUAGAAGUUGCCAACGACUCCAGUAUCAGCCCUCUCCAGACCGUGCAGGUCACGAACACUUAAUAAAACAAAACAGGCCAGAGAUCAAGUAGCAGAGUGAGCAAGGAAAGAGAAGUGAACUGUUGGAAUCCUUGCUAAUCUCCACCCCAAUGCUUUAGGCUUCCAGAAAAGGAAAUGAAGGCCAUUUACUGACACAGAAGAGGACAGGCUGACCUCCCAAAGGAGGAUCAAACUCGGGGCCUCAUGUUCGCAAGAGGUCAAAUGAUCAAAUAAAGUGUAUCACAGAGGCCAGUCAGGACCAACUGCACCAAAUAACUUUCUCAACUUGCUGAAUACAGAUUCCUAUCCUCCACUCUGAAAUCUCAUAUAGCAGGUCUUUUGUGGUCCCUUCAAACUGCAUGGAAACAAACUGAUAUACAGCCAGA